CAGGGAGACAACAAAAUGUUAAAUAUUAAUUUUGUCACCUUAGGUCGAUCGGUAUCUCACAUCCUUGAUUUAUUAAGGAUUUCAUUUUCUAAGUUUUUUCUAGGUCACACCCAUUACUUUUCCUGGGCCAUUAGCUCAGGUGGUUAGAGCGCACCCCUGAUAAGGGUGAGGUCCCUGGUUCAAGUCCAGGAUGGCCCAUAUCUCUAUGUUGGGGUAUAGCUCAGUUGGUAGAGCGCCUGCUUUGCAAGCAGGAUGUCAGCGGUUCGAGUCCGCUUACCUCCACUGAUCACCACCUCUUCCAUGAUUUAUAGAAGGGAAUUGUAUUGAGUUGUGAUCAAAUUCUGAACGAAUCUAGCUUCCUAAUGGAGCCAUUAAGAUGCUGGACUCAUUGAAUUAAUUUUCAUUGUUUUCAGAGAACCUUGACAACUGCAUAGAUUAUUUUUAAAGACAAUAAGCAUCUUUAAUGAUGCAGAUUUAUUAUUUUUGCGAGUGCAUUAAUAACAAUUCUAUUAAGCUGAUGCUUCAA
This 526-nucleotide transfer RNA is filed under the name uncultured Prochlorococcus sp. RNAcentral describes it as "partial 16S-23S ribosomal RNA intergenic spacer". The stretch from base 125 to 198 matches the Rfam family "tRNA". Lineage: Bacteria; Bacillati; Cyanobacteriota; Cyanophyceae; Synechococcales; Prochlorococcaceae. The record is from RNAcentral.